Molecule: long non-coding RNA, 994 nt
Organism: Aethalodelphis obliquidens (Pacific white-sided dolphin)
Lineage: Eukaryota; Metazoa; Chordata; Mammalia; Artiodactyla; Delphinidae
Exons: 2
Source: RefSeq, a predicted model, not a curated record
UCCCAGAUGGUUGGGGGAGGGUUGGGACCCUUACAACACUUUUGCCUUCAGCAAAAAUGUAUUUCAAUAUAAUUAUAGGAGAUAGCUUUCAAUAUGUCAUCUCUGUUAUAGCAGCUGUAAAUUAUGAAGUGAAUUGCUUGUGUACAAGCACUUCUUCUGGAACAAGCAAAGUGGGAGAGCUGCAUAAGGCAUGAUAUAUAUCUUUUCUUUUUUAACUGAGAACAAAUCUCUAAGUCAAAUUUCAUUUGCAAAAACCAAUGUAUCCAUUUCCCUUUGGUAGAGAGGCAGAGGAAACAAGACCCUCAAUUCUUUAAAACAGGCUUCCCAGGACCCUUGGCUCAAGUUCAUUAGGAAUUCACCUAUUCUAAUAGUCGGGCCUUUAAUCAUAAGAGCAUAUUUGAAAGAUACAGUAAAAACAUUUUUCAAAACUUGUAGCUAGUCCCAUCCCAUAGUUCAGGAUGCCAUAUAAGCCUCCAUUGUCUGGCUGCCUUUGGGUCUUAUAUGGGGAUCCCAUGUGUACAAAAUAAAAAAAAUUUGUUUUCCUCCUUUUAAAACAAAAAACUUGUAGCUAAUCAACAAGAAGACAAGCAACCAGGUCUUCCUCCCAGCUAAAGAGGAAGGCAGUGCAACCAAGACAAAAGCAUUACAACACAGUUGCUGCAAGCUUUGAAAAAUUAUCAUAUUCCUCUUGGUCGUCAGGAUCAACAAAAGUCAAAUCUGGAUACUCUCUGCUGAAGACAACCAAUAUUAAUGAAUCAGACUACAGAGUCAUUGUCUGGGAUCCCAAAGGAAACAAAAAUGUGAAUACAACAAAUUCUUCUUAGAAGAGAAAAUCCUGCAGAACUACUGAACAGAACAUCAUUGGUCAAUGCUCUGAUCAUAAAUAUGUUAAACCUUACAUGAUAUUUUUGAAUAUGCAUGCAAGCUAGAUCCAGUUUUAACUAAAAUUUUACUCUGAUUUUAUUUUUCAGUUUAGGUCUUCGUAAUGAACAUC